UACGGGGGGAGCAAGCGUUGUUCGGAAUUACUGGGCGUAAAGGGCGCGCAGGCGGUCGUUCAAGUCAGGCGUGAAAGCCCCGGGCUCAACCUGGGAACAGCGCUUGAGACUGAGCGACUUGAGUUCGGGAGAGGAGAGCGGAAUUCCCAGUGUAGAGGUGAAAUUCGUAGAUAUUGGGAAGAACACCGGUGGCGAAGGCGGCGACCUGGUCCGUGACUGACGCUGAGGCGCGAAAGCGUGGGGAGCAAACAGG
Molecule: ribosomal RNA, 253 nt
Filed under: uncultured bacterium
Lineage: Bacteria
Description: partial 16S ribosomal RNA
Rfam family: Bacterial small subunit ribosomal RNA
Source: RNAcentral